CCUACGGGUGGCAGCAGUGAGGAAUAUUGGUCAAUGGACGCGAGUCUGAACCAGCCAAGCCGCGUGAAGGAUGACUGCCCUCUGGGUUGUAAACUUCUUUUAUAUGGGAAUAAAAUGUUACACGUGUGGGAUUUUGUAUGUACCAUAUGAAUAAGACUCGGCUAACCCCGUGCCAGCAGCCGCGGUAAUACGGAGGAUCCGAGCGUUAUCCGGAUUUAUUGGGUUUAAAGGGAGAGUAGGUGGAUUGUUAAGUCAGUUGUGAAAGUGUUCGGCUCAACCGUAAAAUUGCAGUUGAAACUGGCAGGCUAGAGUACAGGAGAGGUGGGCGGAAUUCGUGGUGUAGCGGUGAAAUGCGUAGAUAUCACGAAGAACUCCGAUUGCGAAGGCAGCUCACUGGACUGCAACUGACACUGAGGCGCGAAAGUGUGGGUAUCAAACAGGAUUAGAUACCCGUGUAGUC
This 460-nucleotide ribosomal RNA is filed under the name uncultured bacterium. Its description in RNAcentral is "partial 16S ribosomal RNA". It matches the Rfam family "Bacterial small subunit ribosomal RNA", at positions 338 to 795 of the family's 1533-position model. The record is from RNAcentral.